AGCAGCCGCGGUAAUUCCAGCUCCAAUAGCGUAUAUUAAAGUUGUUGCAGUUAAAAAGCUCGUAGUUGAAUUUCGGGACCAAUAUGUCGGUCGUGCUUCGGUACGUACUUGCAUUAUUGGUUUCUCCCUUCUGAAGAACCAUGAUGUCAUUAAUUUGGUGUCUUGGGAAAUCAGGACUGUUACUUUGAAAAAAUUAGAGUGUUUAAAGCAGGCUCACGCUUGAAUACAUUAGCAUGGAAUAAUGAAAUAGGACGUUUGAUUCUAUUUUGUUGGUUUCUAGGAUCGACGUAAUGAUUAAUAGGGAUAGUUGGGGGCAUUAGUAUUCAAUUGUCAGAGGUGAAAUUCUUGGAUUUAUUGAAGACUAACUACUGCGAAAGCAUUUGCCAAGGAUGUUUUCAUUAAUCAAGAGCGAAAGUUAGGGGAUCGAAGACGAUCAGAUACCGUCGUAGUCUUAACCAUAAACUAUGCCGACUAGGGAUCGGAUGUUGUUAUUUUUGAUGACUCA
RNAcentral lists this ribosomal RNA (505 nucleotides) under uncultured Glomus. RNAcentral's name for it is "SSU rRNA". It matches the Rfam family "Eukaryotic small subunit ribosomal RNA", at positions 569 to 1078 of the family's 1831-position model. The record is from RNAcentral. Lineage: Eukaryota; Fungi; Glomeromycota; Glomeromycetes; Glomerales; Glomeraceae.